CGUGGUUGGGGGCGUGGAGGGGCAGGGGAAAUGACACAACAAAGGCCCAAGUUUCCCAAACCACAAAACUUUUUUCUGCCUCGCUACCUCCUCUAUGUCCCGUCCCUAAACAAAUACUAGAAGACGAGGAAAAGGAGCCUUGGGUCUGGGAGCAACAACCAGAGGGAGAGAAAAAAGUUCGAAAUGAAAGGAAGGCUCACAGGGGGAUAAUUGUAGGGUGCACUGCAUACGAGAAAAGCUGCGAAAGAGGAAAGGAAGAGAAUUCAGGAGAGUGGGAGAAAGCCUUAAGGACAGACUAGUAACUUUUGCUUGCUGUUUUAGGUCACUGAUUUUACAAGUGCGAACAGUUCGAUUGUAGAUGGAGUUCAGUUUUCUCACUUAAUACUCUGUAAUUUUCAUUUCUACUUUGGAUUGAUCCCAGUUUCUUGUUAACAUUUUAAAGCUUCUUUCAGGAAUAUUGCAGGUUUUCGCUGGCUGACAGUUUUAGUUUCCAUUUCCCAAGUCAUCACACUUUCACAGGCCCCCAAAAGCACCCCCCUGUCCCCACUAGCCCUGGACUGGCAAACCGAAAGGGCACGCUAAGCCUCCAAUUUUACUACGUAUUGCGGGGGCUCCAUAUUUCGGUUUUGGAGUCUUUAAACGAACUCAACUUUUAACUAUUUGAUCUUAACAGUAAUUGAUGUUAUGUGAAUAAGCGGACAGUCUUGCUACACCUCAGUUUUGUUGAAAUAGCAUAAAAUUUUGAGAUAAAUAUGUCCCCCUAGCAAGUGAGCUAUUGAACCAGACUCCAUUCUCUCUUCUGUCCUUUCUGUGCCGUGAUGCUUCGUGAGACACAAGCUUUUAGUCUGGCUGCUGUUUAUCUUCUAUGCUUGGCACUGGGAAAAACCAAUAGACCUAGUGGCGGGAGACAUCGCAAGGGCUGAAAAUUCGUCGUUCAGAAAAUGUUACCCUUGUGGAAAAUGUCUACAGAGGCAGCUGAUGCAUCCCCAGGGAGGAACAUCAAAAGUUGCACAAAGUUUCCACUACCUUUGAAAGUGAUACCACUGAAAACCGGAGAAGUUAAGCAAUUUAAUCAAGUUCACAGAGUUAAGUUCCUGAACUCAUGAGCAAGAAAUGUCAGAUGAUCUUUCAUGUCGUUAAAUUGAAUUGAAUCUGAUCCCAAGCCUCUUCUUGCCAGCUGAUUUGCCUUCUUCCUCUUUUUGACUCUGGUAGGCUGGCUGAAAACGUGCGGAACCGAAAGUGAAGAGGGUAGAAGAGGAGCCACUUGUAAGGAAUAUGGGCUCCUGUAGUUCCGUGUUUGGGAAAUACAAGUAUAAACAUUAAGAAAUGCUUCAACUUCAAUACAAAGUGCGGAAUUUUGGCCUUUGGAAUAUAAGGCCGUUUCUUGGAGGCCACUGAAGUGCAAUGGUCUUUAGUUAUUCACUGGCUGGAAGGAGGAGAUUUGCACACACACUAGAGAGUGCACAGAGGAAAGACCGAGAAGGUGGAUAUCCACAAGCAGAGGAGAGAGGCCUCAGAAGAAACCAGCCCCGAUUGGCACCUUGAUCUUGGACUUCUCCCUUGCAGAUCUAUGAGAAAAUAAACGUCUCCUGC
Molecule: long non-coding RNA, 1593 nt
Filed under: Equus caballus (horse)
Lineage: Eukaryota; Metazoa; Chordata; Mammalia; Perissodactyla; Equidae
Description: lncRNA (ENSECAG00000059767.1)
Source: RNAcentral